UCCGAACUUCGAAACGUAAUUGGGAACUUGGGAACGAACUUCGCAACCGCGUCUUGAAAAGUGAACUGAAAUCGACGAUAACUUCAUUUGUCAGUUGUUAUCGAAUUUUGAAUUUCAAAUUCACGUAAACAAUAAACUGCUGUAAAUUUAAAAUAUUGCUUAAAACUGUAAAAUAUUGUUUGAAAUGUGGAGAUAUUUAAUUUCAAACGGCACGCAAUUAAUAUAGUUGAAGUGGAGCAAAAAUAUUUUGAGAGACAAACAAACAGAGACAAACAUAUUUUUGUAUCUAGCUAGCUAACUUUGUAAAGUAAAUCAUUCAGCA
Paramuricea clavata is the source of this 322-nucleotide non-coding RNA. The record is from the annotation of a GenBank genome assembly. Lineage: Eukaryota; Metazoa; Cnidaria; Anthozoa; Malacalcyonacea; Plexauridae.